UCCUCCGUGGCGCAAUUGGCUAGCGCGUUCGGCUGUUACCCAGCAGCAGCAGCAAACCGAGAGGUUGGUGGUUCGAGCCCACCCGGGGAGU
Molecule: non-coding RNA, 91 nt
Organism: Coniosporium tulheliwenetii
Lineage: Eukaryota; Fungi; Ascomycota; Dothideomycetes
Source: the annotation of a GenBank genome assembly